Danio rerio (zebrafish) is the source of this 960-nucleotide non-coding RNA. NCBI's taxonomy places the organism in Eukaryota, Metazoa, Chordata, Actinopteri, Cypriniformes, Danionidae. The record is from Ensembl.
GUGGAGUAAUACACAAAGGGUAAAGAAGCUGUAAGAGUUCUGAUAUUGCAGAAUAUUGCACGGCUAUCAGCCAAUCAGAUUCGAGAACCAGACAGAACUGUUGUAUAAAAUGUAAUAUAUUGGAGUACAUGGGCGACGUGGUGGCGCAGUAUGUAGUGCUGACGCCUCACAGCAAGAAGGUCAGUGGUUUGGGCCUCGGCUGAGGCAUUUCUGUGUGGAGUUUACAAGGCCUACAAGUCUCUAGAUGCCUACAAUGUUAUUCUGUGUGAUCGUGUGCAAGAAAUAACAUUCCAUGAUUACCAGAUUCAAAACCAGUAGUGCUAAAAACUGAGGUUCUGUCUAUAAAGGCAAAGAAAGAAAACGGAACUGUACAAGGCCUGGGUAAUCAUCACCAAGCAAAACAACUGCAUUCUGACAGCGAACUAGACCUGUACAGCAAGCUUUCGUCCUUCCCAUGACACCUUCUCCGUCUCAUCUGGAUAACUAUUAAUAUGACAAAAGAGCUGUCGAGGCUGAAUACACAGACAGGCCAGGAGGAGAAUAAAUGCGUCUGCGGGCGGGUGAGAAAAAAGCCUCCGGUGAUGAGACCCCAUGAUGGACAGAGUGGUAAUUGUGCGCCGGACCGGAUGCGUGUGAUGAAGGCUUUUUUUUCCUCUGGAUCCCGCCCGAUGUUUACCCUCCUCUGAGCUUGCUUUGCCUGUCGAUCGGAGUGGGGUAGAUAUUGCGUGUCAAGUGCUCUCCUGGGCUAAACUAUCAUUUCCAAGUGUUAUCACACAAUCCUGACUCCCAGGGGCCUCUCGGCUGGCAGGAGCUCCAGACUUUGUCCGGGCUCAGCAGAUGCUGCGCGACAGUGGCAUCCCAGCAAGGGCACUGAGGAUGCAAAUGAGGGCAGGCUGUGCAGGUAACACUCCAAUAAAGCAAAUGAUUAAUCAGGCUUUGUAUGUUUGAGGCAAUUAAAAA